RNAcentral lists this ribosomal RNA (253 nucleotides) under uncultured bacterium. RNAcentral's name for it is "partial 16S ribosomal RNA". It matches the Rfam family "Bacterial small subunit ribosomal RNA", at positions 524 to 776 of the family's 1533-position model. The record is from RNAcentral.
UACGUAGGGAGCAAGCGUUGUUCGGAUUUACUGGGCGUAAAGGGCGCGUAGGCGGCGCGGUAAGUCACUUGUGAAAUCUCUGAGCUUAACUCAGAACGGCCAAGUGAUACUGCAGUGCUAGAGUGCAGAAGGGGCAAUCGGAAUUCUUGGUGUAGCGGUGAAAUGCGUAGAUAUCAAGAGGAACACCUGAGGUGAAGACGGGUUGCUGGGCUGACACUGACGCUGAAGUGCGAAAGCUAGGGGAGCGAACGGG